GAGAUCACUGUCAAUUCCCUCAGACAAGGAGACGGUCGUCGCCUGAGCAGAGACUGGCUUCACAAACCUCCCCGCUGAAUUGAUUUGUUUCUCCUCUGUCCUCUGGAGAAGAAAUGGACUACUGGCAUCUGCUUUUGUUGCUUGCUGGAGAAACCUGUUGCACCUCAGAGGACUGUCUACAGUGAAAGACGGAUUUCUCACAUUUUAUUCUUGAACCCCAGUCCACCAUGAAGGUGACAGUUGCUGCUGUGAAGAUCUUAAUGAGUCUGCUGCUGAUUUUACACUCCAGUAGAGCCCAGAACUCCAGCGAUGACUCCAUGUACACCUCCCUCAUCAUGCUGUUGAGUGUGAGCCCUCAGUCCCUCGUCAGCCUCCUGCUGCUGGGUCUCACCGUCAUCUUGUCCAGCGUCGUCUACAUAUGGGUCCUCAGAUACGUUUGCAUCGGCUGCUGCCAGCCCAUUCCGGUCGGCACUGAGUCACAAGCUCUGGCUGGGAUUGUGUGAAGCCAUCAGGUCCUGUUUGAGUGAGUUACAGUAUUAGUCACUCAUAGGCCCACUAAGUCACACAGGUAAAAAUUACAUUCUUCACACCUGUGAAUUAGUUCUAUUCACCAGACAGACGGGACUGUAAUAUAAAAAAAAAUGGCAUCUCACAUGUUAAAUAUGUGACAAUAAUGUUGCUUUGAGUUUUUAGAAAACACUUCUUUUUAUACUUGUGUAAAUUUUACAUCUUCACACUUGAAUUGUAACCUCUGAAUCCCUGACCUGUAAUUUUUUUUCUCAGUGAUUCAGUUGAUGGUAGUUGCCCAAGCUGAAAAAUAGCAGCGGCAAGAUAAAAAACAGAGACGUCAUCUUCCCGGACACGAGCCAGAAAAAUUACCUUUUACAUUUAAACGAUUGUUCCCUAAACCUAAAUAAAUAGUCUUUGUGUCUAAACCUAACCAAACCACGACUGCUCCACAACUUUAACCUUCUAAUAAAGGUCUGGUACGCCUGCUCUUGGUACGCACCUAUGGGUCGUAUCCAAGGGGAGGGAGAACUGGUGAUGAGAGUCAAAGGCUGUAAAACCAAAACAAUGAGCUGAAAGACGCUAAAAUGCUCCGUAGCGCUGAGGGGAACUGCAGAGUUGUAAUAAUUCUCAACAGGUUUGUCACUAUGAGUGACACCUUUCCAUUACAUGUAGUCAUUUAACCCAUCGUUGAUGUAAAAAUAUUUAUUAGUGCAGCUUUAAUAUUUUCUAGUGUGACUUCAUUUGAAAUUUAUUGUCUCAAAACAGCUGCUUUGUGCUCUCAAACUAAACCAGCUGUUAAAAAAUACAUGUAAUGAUUGUUAUAACCUCACAAUAUUCAUAUGUAAGAGUGGAUUCAGUAUCCGUAACCACCUCAAUACCAAAACACUCUGCAACCAGAGUAGCCCCGACAACCUGUAAUUUCAGCUCUUACUGCUGCAGUUUGACACUGAUUCUAAGUUUGUGAGCACAUAGUAAGUGAUUUAAGAGGCUGUAUUUCUAAUUUCACUUUAACCGUUUUUUCUCCUGACGCCUUCUAGGCUCCAUAUGAAGUCCAUAUACAAUCGACUUGAGCAAUUUGUUUGUCGGUAAACAUGUUUGCCUUCAGUUUUGUCCUUCUGAAAAAAAAAAAAAAACAUUCUCUAUUUAUUUCCUGUACAUGUGCAGAAUGAAUUGAAGAUACAAGGACGAGGCACUGGAUGGUUUAUAUAUAUAUAUAAAUAUAUGAAAUAAUGCAAAGACAUUCUCACACCUCAUACCUCUAUCUUUGAGGUACACACACACAUGCAGCGAUGUGUUGUACGCUCUACUCUGUUCUAUUCUAUUGGUCGAAUAAAUCCUGUGUACGUGAAAAGCUGCUCUCUGACUCUCAGU
Molecule: long non-coding RNA, 1881 nt
Organism: Lates calcarifer (barramundi perch)
Lineage: Eukaryota; Metazoa; Chordata; Actinopteri; Centropomidae
Exons: 3
Source: RefSeq, a predicted model, not a curated record